RNAcentral lists this ribosomal RNA (250 nucleotides) under uncultured bacterium. RNAcentral's name for it is "partial 16S ribosomal RNA". It matches the Rfam family "Bacterial small subunit ribosomal RNA", at positions 779 to 1027 of the family's 1533-position model. The record is from RNAcentral.
UAGAUACCCUGGUAGUCCACGCCGUAAACGAUGGAUACUAGCUGUUGGAGGUAUCGACCCCUUCAGUAGCGAAGCUAACGCGUUAAGUAUCCCGCCUGUGGAGUACGGCCGCAAGGCUAAAACAUAAAGGAAUUGACGGGGACCCGCACAAGCGGUGGAUUAUGUUCUUUAAUUCGAUGAUAACCGAAGAACCUUACCAGGGCUUGACAUCCAGGGAAGGUCUGCGAAAGUAGACUGUGCCUUUUGGAAC